Molecule: long non-coding RNA, 469 nt
Organism: Harmonia axyridis
Lineage: Eukaryota; Metazoa; Arthropoda; Insecta; Coleoptera; Coccinellidae
Exons: 3
Source: RefSeq, a predicted model, not a curated record
AGAAGCAGCCAACAAUUUUCAAACUUUGGCUCGAAAAAGUUAGUUAUCCAUUGCUCAACUCUAAAACUCCUCAACAAAUUUGUAAGAAGUGAAAUUAGAUAGCCUUAAAGGAAUUUGACAACUGCUAUCCCUGAAUUAUUUCUUCCUGGAUCUUCAAAUCAAGGGGAAGAUGGAGAAGUUCAUGACACUGAAGGAAUACAUCUCCAAAGUGAUGUUGAGAGGGAAGCAUCAACAGAGACUUUGAAGAAUUUUAAGCACCCUCAGAAAACUUCAAUAAUAUAUAGAAAAAGAUAUCGAGGACAACAAUUAAUUGACACUAGAGGCUGUGGGCACUGCAGAGCUGAUCAUUUUUAUGGAUAAGCUGUUUGAUAGCCUGAAUAUGCAAUUGUGAAGGACACAUUAAAAAUUUGGCAUACUAGAAAUAUUUAAAAAAAUGUAAAAUUUUAAAUAGAUGAUUUUUUUAUAUGAA